RNAcentral lists this ribosomal RNA (412 nucleotides) under uncultured bacterium. RNAcentral's name for it is "bacterial SSU rRNA". It matches the Rfam family "Bacterial small subunit ribosomal RNA", at positions 29 to 437 of the family's 1533-position model. The record is from RNAcentral.
AUUGAACGCUGGCGGCAUGCCUUACACAUGCAAGUCGAACGGCAGCACGGGAGCAAUCCUGGUGGCGAGUGGCGAACGGGUGAGUAAUGCAUCGGAACGUACCCGGAAGUGGGGGAUAACGUAGCGAAAGUUACGCUAAUACCGCAUAUUCUGUGAGCAGGAAAGAGGGGGGAUCGCAAGACCUCUCGCUUUCGGAGCGGCCGAUGUCGGAUUAGCUAGUUGGUGGGGUAAAGGCCUACCAAGGCGACGAUCCGUAGCGGGUCUGAGAGGAUGAUCCGCCACACUGGGACUGAGACACGGCCCAGACUCCUACGGGAGGGCAGCAGUGGGGGAAUUUUGGACAAUGGGCGGCAAGCCUGAUCCAGCCAUGCCGCGUGAGUGAAGAAAGGCCUCGGUUCGGUUAAGUACGUAC